UCUGGAUAGUGAGUGUGUAAAUGAGCAGCAUUUCAGUUGCAGCUGACGUUGAGGUGGAGGUCACUGGUCAGGUCACGGUCAGAGGUUGAGGAGGUGGCUCCAGCUCCUCCAGCUCAAGCUCGAGCAGGGGCUGAAUCUAUGAAACGUU
This is a long non-coding RNA of Amphibalanus amphitrite, 148 nucleotides long. RefSeq lists it as uncharacterized. The record is from RefSeq and is a predicted model, not a curated record. Lineage: Eukaryota; Metazoa; Arthropoda; Thecostraca; Balanomorpha; Balanidae. The transcript is spliced from 3 exons.